GAUAAACGCUGGCGGCGUGCCUAACACAUGCAAGUCGAACGAAGAGGCUCCUUCGGGAGUACUUCAGUGGCGGACGGGUGAGUAACACGUAGGUGACCUACCCCAAAACGGGGAAUAACAGUCCGAAAGGAUUGCUAAUACCCCAUGUGGUCAACGAGUUUAGAGGCUUGUUGACUAAAGGAGCAAUCCGUUUUGGGAGGGGCCUGCGCCCCAUCAGCUAGUUGGUAGGGUAAUGGCCUACCAAGGCUACAACGGGUAGGGGGCCUGAGAGGGUGACCCCCCACAUUGGCACUGACACACGGGCCAAACUCCUACGGGAGGCAG
Molecule: ribosomal RNA, 324 nt
Filed under: uncultured Chloroflexota bacterium
Lineage: Bacteria; Bacillati; Chloroflexota
Description: bacterial SSU rRNA
Rfam family: Bacterial small subunit ribosomal RNA
Source: RNAcentral